AUGUAUUGGGUUCAGUUGCCUUCGGUGG
This 28-nucleotide small RNA is filed under the name Bombyx mori (domestic silkworm). Its description in RNAcentral is "ovarian small RNA-12648". Lineage: Eukaryota; Metazoa; Arthropoda; Insecta; Lepidoptera; Bombycidae. The record is from RNAcentral.